Marmota monax (woodchuck) is the source of this 6779-nucleotide RNA transcript. RefSeq lists it as uncharacterized. NCBI's taxonomy places the organism in Eukaryota, Metazoa, Chordata, Mammalia, Rodentia, Sciuridae. The record is from RefSeq and is a predicted model, not a curated record. The transcript is spliced from 5 exons.
CCCAGCCCCCCCACCGUUUUUAAUAUUUUAUAUGGAGACAAGUUCUCACUGAGUUGCUUAGGGCUUCACUAGGUUUCUGAGCCUGAUGAACUCGCCAUCCUGCCUCAGGAUCCCAAGCCACUGGAAUUACAGGUGGAUGCCACCUGACCUGUCUCUGAAGUUGUCUUUAUAGGAAAGAGCUGGGGGAGAAGUAACUAUGCAAGAACAGGGUGACUUGUGAGAAAGUUGAGCUAGGAGCUAGCACAGAACUGGGGGGAGGAGGGCGGAACUGGGGGCAGAUGUGGCUGAGGAGAUGCUGAUUACAGCGAAUAGGCAGAGCUGUGGCUAAGAAUUGGGGAAGUUGCUGAAUGCUCAAGCACUCUGUAAGGAGCUGGUGCAGAGAUGCAGGCAGAUCUUUGGAGAAAGCUGGGGAAAGACCUAGUGCUGCACCAGGGAGGGGGGACCUAUGGUCAAGUUGGGGGAGGAGCCCACAGAGCUGUGGGAGGAGCUGCCAGAUGCACAGGGCAGAAGUGAGGAGGAAGCUUAGGGUUUCUGUGCUGCACUCUUAGUCAAGAGGGGAAAAUGGCCAAACCAGGGUCCUCAUGGACCUAACCGAACCCUGAGUGUGUACUUUAGGGUGCACUCCAGAGGAGUAGCAGCUGGGAGAAGGGAGACGCCUGCCUGUGUCCACAGAGUUCAGGGCUGAGGCUUGCACCACAGGGAUGAACCCCCCACAGCUUUCCUUUCCCCUAGAUGCAUUUUGGUUCCUGCCAGUGAGGCUGGGAAUAACCGUCUUUUGUUUUGAAGGGAGCUGAAUAGCACCACCCUAUGUGCUGCUGCCCCUCAGACCUAAGUUGCCAAAACCACCUCCCAACUUCCGUGCCAACCUGGCUUUUCGUCUUUCACACCACAACCUUCCCUCAGGAUCACCAUGCUUCCUUACACUGUCCUGCCUAGUGACUGGAGAGCCAAGUUCUAGGUCCCUGCCUCUACCUUACAUGUAAGAAGACAGAUUCCUCUUCCUUUGUUCCCUUUGCUACUUGCUGAGGUCAGGCCACAUUCUCUGGUGUCUGUGCUAUCCCCUGAUUUUCCUGACUGGCCUAGAGUCCUGUGUUGCGUCUUUUCUGUUGGUCCUCCAUCAUACAGUACCCCUCACUCUCUACCUUGCAAAUCAGUCCCCUACUGAAAACCUGCCAAGCCUUCUCCUGUAGGGGUGCAGGCGCCUCAAGUUUCAGCCCGAGCUCUCUCCCCCCUUCUGGACUAACACUGGCCAGAGUCAAAGUGUGCUUUGGGGUACCUGGUCCCUGACCCAACCUGUUCCACAGGACUCCUUGCUUUGAAGCUAUGGUUCGUACAGAAUUGAAUGCCCAUCCCCUCUUAUCCUGACAACCUAUCCUCCAAGCACAACUUUCAAUUCACCUUCACUGUUGCACAAUCAAGUGUCCUAUUUCUGGUAGCCUUCCUUCUGGUAGACCCAUGCUCCAAGCAUUGGGUCCUUGUAACCCAGAGCUGCAACUGCUCUCCCGGAGUCUGUGGCCACAGCAGGAUCUCUAAGUUCCUGGAAGGCAAGGCUGCUUUUACUCCUUUCUGUAAUCUGGGUGCCGGGCAUAGUAGCUGCUUAGUAAACAUCAGAUGGACCAGAGGAGUGCUCUCUCCCAGUGAGAGGUACUUGUACUUUUCCUGGAGAAGCUCAAGAAAACAGGAAAGCUGGAGGUAAAGUGAGUGGGAGAGGGUACCUUGUUCACAUGAGGGAGGCCUUAGGGCUCAAGGAGCCUUAAAGUUCAUAUGGGACUCCCACCUAGGUUGGUGUCCCCUCCAGGCCUCUUUCCUCCACAAAUCGUUCCAGCCCCUGCCCAGCACCACGGCAUCUCCUCAGAGCUGUUUGGAAUAGACUCAUACAUGUGCACUGGCAAUAAAUCACAGGAGAAAUGUCCCUCUUUUUUCGAUAAUGAGAAAUUUACCAGGGAAGAGGAAGUCCCUCAAGAGCAGAAUUGGCUCUACUGAUUAUCGUGCCUUCUACUACAGUGCCAAAGACACCCUUAAUUGUAUAUUCAAAAUUGUGUAGAAAAUUUUCAAGAGAAGAUUACAUUGUGAUUUCUGCAAGGUUUUUAACUACUACGUGAAGAGUUCUUUCAGAAAAGAAGUUUAUUUGGCUCACAGUUCUGGAGGCUGGGAAAUCUAAGGGCAUGGUGCUGGCAUAUAAAAUGACAAAUGGUGAAAAGCCUCAUCUCCCAGCACUUUCCUUCUAAUCUCUCUGUAGAAAGCAACAUUUCAACCAAGAAGCAAGUAGGAAUUGUGACAUUUUCUCAACAUCCUGAGCUCCCUGUCCUACCUCAGAAGCUAAAGGAAAUCCCAAAAUCCAGUUACUUCCCAAGGUCAAUUCUAUUUGGAUAUUGAAUGUAUACCUUCCCAAGCAUUGUGAUCUCCAAAUUAUUUGGAGGACACAACAUCUUUGUUUGUACGUGGUGCUGAGGAUCGAACCCGGGCCGCACGCAUGCCAGGCGAGCGCGCUACCGCUUGAGCCACAUCCCCAGCCCCUACAACCUGGAUUCUUAAAAAAAUUUAUAGCAUGAAAAAAUUUUAAAGGAGGGACACUUGCUAUGUAUUGUUUGAACCAUGAACUAUGAAUCAUGCUUUAAUUAUUUUACACCAUAGAUACUUAGGUACUUUAAAACAAUAUAAUAAUGUAACAUAUUCAAUUUUAAUACAUAUGCUUACAUUCAUAAUUAUAUAUUUAAUGUAUCUUUGAAAUAUACAUGGUGUCAAAAUUCAAUUCCUCUUCUCAAAAAUAUGUACUGGUUCCCACUAAAUGAAUAAACUUAAGUUUUUUGUUUGCUUAAAAAAUUAGUUAUGCCAUUUCACUGCAAAGAACAAACAACAAAAACAACAAUAUAAAAUAGAAAAAUAUUUAUUAUCUCUCUGGUGUGUAUUUAUUUUCUAAAUGAUAUAUUAUAAUCUUCUUAGGAUGGCAUAUUGAUCUGUUUUCUUCAUACUUAUUCAGCUUGUUCUCACAUCACUCCCCUAUCCCCACAUUUUAUCAGCCUUCAGCAAUAUUCUUCUGUGUCUUUUAACAUGUUCCCUCUACUGAGACAUUGCUUCCUGUCUGACUAGUGAACCACUCUUUAUCCUUCAAAACAUUGUCCUCUUUUCUAGAAAGCCAUUUUGAGUGUUCUAGGCACAAUGUCUUACCUCUGGGAUCCUUACGUAUUUUAUACAAUAACAUGUUGCAACUCUUUUGUUUUUAUGUCCAUGUUCUAUACUAGUCUCUGAGCCCUUCAAUGACACUGUGGUAGUUUUUCAGCAAUAACUAUUAGUAGGUGCUCAGUAAGUAUUUACAGAAUUAAUGAUUUGGAUGUCCCAUACACUGAAUUGUGAUCCCUGAAAAUUUAGCUAUGUGGCAUUGAGGGUGGAAAGAACUUGAUAAUACCAUUUUCAUCUGUUGUUUUCUACUCUAAUAAAAGAACUGCAAAAUUUGAGAUUUCAAGGAGAUAGAUAUGAUCACUCAGCUUGAAUCCAGAGGGGACGAUUUAUAGGAACCUGCUUCAGUGAAUGUGGAUCUGCAUAUAUUCUGGGAGCUGUAAAGGACAUGCUUUUACCCCUCCUUGACUGGUUCUUGUCAAGAAUUCUAGUAGUUCUUCUGCUCUAGGAGUCACUUUUGGGUCAAUCAGAGAUUAUAUUCCUGGGGCUGGGGUUGUGGCUCAACUAGUAGAGUGCUCGCCUAGGCACUGGGUUCAAUCCUCAGCACCACAAAAAAAUAAAAUAAAGAUAUUGUAUCCACCUACAACUAAAUUUUUUUAAAAAAGAGAUCGUAUUCCUUUAGAAGGAUGAGUGUGAUGUUAAUGGAAGCAUUUCUAGAUGUCUACAGAGCUUGAAAUUCUGAGAACCAUCUGUGAACUAGAUUUACCCAAUAGGAUGAGUAACUCUGUGGUAGAGUGGGGGACUAAAGAAGGCUCAAGAACCUCUAGCCUAAGGACAUUGAACAGUGUAUGGUCCCUAUAGGCCUAUAGGGCAUGAGCUCUCAGAGACCAGAGUAGUUUGGUAGAGAAUGGCUUAUAGCUAUGCUAGGUCUAAAUUCCACAGGCAUAGCAAAUCUACUUGGUUUCCUUGGCUCUGAGGGACUGACCUUUCAAAUGGCUUGUUGCUCUUGGGAGUUACCUCUUCAGGGAAAGCUCAGGAGACUCUGUACUUACCUGAGUAAAAAUGCUCAGGAUGAUCUGGAUGAGCAUUUGGAAGUCAGGUUGUUUCUAUCAGUUUAUCCUGCUCCACUAGGCUCCAUGCCUUUUACCAGGCAUGAGAGAGUAGGUUAGGGAAGAAGUAAGUUGACAGAAAAACUGGGGUUCAUUGACCUUUCCUCAGUGGUGAUUAGCUGUGAAACCUUCAGGAAUCUUGAACUGCCACCCUCAGACUUGGUUUUUCACUAUGUUAUUCUUUCCCAGAAUGCACUUCUAAUAUCAGCUAGGCCAAUGCACUUCCUAUUGAACCAAGUUGCUUUAUUACUCUGAUACCUUGGUGAGCCUAAUAGAGACUAGUAGAUUAGUAGACUUUGGUUUUAUGGAAUUAAAUUGUUAUUUAUGGCUCAGAGAGACUAAGAAGAAGCUAAAAUGGCAGAAAUAUCUUUGCAUUACAGUAUAGCAGUUUGCAAAAGCCCUUACAUGCAUUAAUUAAUUGAUUGUUCAAUCUUCAAUCCACCAGUGUCUAUCCUUUAGUAGACAUUCAUAUGUUUGUUUUAUGAAUGAACAUGGGGGUUUAUUGUACCUCUUUUACAGAUUGGGCUACUGAGGACCAAGCAAGUGAAUUGAGUUUCUUGAAAUUCAAGUCUAUAUUUUAUCAAAUGUAGAGCCUUGACAUCUGGGUCAUUUCAGGUCAACAUUUACUGAGUACCUAUUAAGUGACAUGUACUUGCCUAUGCUUAACAAUGUAUUCCUUGGUUUUGAGAGAUUGUAGGCUUUUGGGGGAGUCACACACAUAAACACAUAAUUUCAACAAAAUAUGCUAAAUGAUGGUGCAGCCUGCUGCCUAUGGAUUGAGAACUCUGAAACCAUGAGCCCCCAAAUAAACUUUUCCUUCUCUACAGUUGUGCUGAUCAGGUCAUUUAGUCAUAGCUUUGAAAAAGAUGACUAAAAAGAAAUUGGUACCAAGAAGUAGGUUUGCUGAUGUGGCUAACUUUACCAUGUGGUUCAAAAGCUAUUGGAGCUUUUUGGAAUUGGUUGGAGAAAUUUUGAGAUGUGUAGCAGUACAACCUGGAAAUGCUUUAUAUUGUUGUAAGCAAAGUUUAAUGGCUGAUUCUGGUGGGAGCUCAGAAUACCAGAAUGACAAUAGGACCGUGGCCAGUGAAGACAAGGCUCAAGAGCGUUUAGAAGAAAAGGAGGACACUAUUGGUAAUUGGACUAGAGGCCAUUCAUGUUAUGUUCUGGCUGAGAAGUUGUCUUCAUUUUGUCCAUGUCCUGAGACUUUCUGUGAGGCUGAUUUGAAAAGCGACAAACUUCUUAAUGCAGCAGAAGAAAUUUCUAAGCACCAUAGCAUUCAAGGAGUGGCAUAAAUAUUGCUGGUGGCUUUUAGCCAAAUUUAUUAUGAUGUUCUGGAACAGAAAGCAGAGCAGAAAGAUUUCAAAAACUUGGACUUGAAAGGCAGGAGUAAAAUUGGGGCUAAGGAAGUUGCAGUUGUUAAAGACAUUACAAAGAAAUGUUAAUGACUUUGCCCAGAGACAAUAAAAAAAGAUGGCUUGAGGGCAUCUCAGGAAUUGGUAAGAUCAUAUCCAUAUCAGACUCGAGGAAGUAAAAGUAAAGAUUCUUUUGAGAAGAGACCAGUGGGAUACCCUUCUUGCACAAGGGGGCCUAGGAAGUUUUGUCAACAUGCCUAGCUACCCAGACACUUAGAGGCUUCCAUACCCAGGGUCCCUGGAGUCCUGGCUAUAGCUCCAGAUGGCGGCCAAUCUUGGCAUCAUGCUGGUUCUGCAGGAAUGCAAGAUACUGGAAUUAGGCAUCAUGGAGGCUUCCACCAAGAUUUCAAAGGAAGGCCAGGGACACCAGGAAAAGUGUAGCAGGAUCAGAGUCCCUGUGGGCACCCACUGAGAGGAUGAUGCAUGGAGAUGUGAGGAGGAAGCUGAAGCUGAGUUGGAGACCCCAAAGAUUAAGAAAUGCUAGUACUGUGGAAAGUCUGCUGAGGAAGGCUGCAGAAAUUGAGCUGAGACAAGGCAACAAAAAGUCCAUUUGUGCUGCAACCAACAAGACCACAGGGGCAGAGCUACACAAACCCUUUGGACAGAACAUCAUCAUGCCAUGUGCCCCAGAUGCGGGAAGUGGAGCUACAGGACUUGUUUGCCCAGCUGGAUUUCAGUCUUACAUUGGUUCUAUCCCUUAUUUCUAUACCCUAUUUUUUGAGUGGAAAUGUUUACUCUGUACCAUUAUAUAUUGGAUACUUAUAAUCACUUUUGAUUUUUAUAAGCUCUGACAACUUGAGCUUGCCCUAAGUCUCAGAGAAGUCUUUGAACUUAAACUUUUGGGCAAUCUUGAACUGUUGAGAUUAUGGGGACUCUUGGAAAUGGACAAAAUGUAUUUAGCAUUGUGAGAUGAGUGUGAGCUUUUGGGGGCCAGGGACAGAAUGUUAUGGAUGUGAGUUAUCCCCCAAAGCUCACAUGUAAGACAAUGCAAAAAGAUUCAGAGAGGAAAUGAUUGGGUUUUGAGAGUCUUAACACAAUCAGCGAAUCAAUCACCUGAUGGGAUUAAUUAAGUAGUAACUGAAGGCAGGUAGGGUAUGGCUGGAGGAGGUGGAGUAUUGGCGGUAUGGCUUUUGGGUAUAUA